RNAcentral lists this ribosomal RNA (524 nucleotides) under uncultured bacterium. RNAcentral's name for it is "partial 16S ribosomal RNA". It matches the Rfam family "Bacterial small subunit ribosomal RNA", at positions 28 to 523 of the family's 1533-position model. The record is from RNAcentral.
GACGAACGCUGGCGGCGUGCCUAAUACAUGCAAGUCGAGCGCAGGAAAUCGACGGAACCCUUCGGGGGGAAGUCGACGGAAUGAGCGGCGGACGGGUGAGUAACACGUAAAGAACCUGCCCUCAGGUCUGGGAUAACCACGAGAAAUCGGGGCUAAUACCGGAUGGGUCAUCGGACCGCAUGGUCCGAGGAUGAAAGGCGCUUCGGCGCCGCCUGGGGAUGGCUUUGCGGUGCAUUAGCUAGUUGGUGGGGUAAUGUCCCAACAAGGCGACGAUGCAUAGCCGACCUGAGAGGGUGAUCGGCCACACUGGGACUGAGACACGGCCCAGACUCCUACGGGAGGCAGCAGUAGGGAAUCUUCCACAAUGGACGAAAGUCUGAUGGAGCAACGCCGCGUGAACGAUGAAGGCCUUCGGGUCGUAAAGUUCUGUUGUAAGGGAAGAACAAGUGCCGCAGGCAAUGGCGGCACCUUGACGGUACCUUGCGAGAAAGCCACGGCUAACUACGUGCCAGCCGCCGCGGUAA